UGGGGAAUUUUGGGCAAUGGGCGAAAGCCUGACCCAGCAACGCCGCGUGAAGGACGAAAUCCCUCUGGGAUGUAAACUUCAAAAGUUGGGGAAGAAAUGGCGCAGGCGAAUAGCCGGCGCAGAUGACGGUACCCAACGUAAGCCCCGGCUAACUACGUGCCAGCAGCCGCGGUAAUACGUAGGGGGCAAGCGUUGUUCGGAAUUACUGGGCGUAAAGGGCGCGUAGGCGGCACGGCAAGUCGGGAGUGAAAGCCCGGGGCUCAACCCCGGAACUGCUCACGAAACUGCCGAGCUAGAGUGCGGAAGAGGCAAUCGGAAUUCCCAGUGUAGCGGUGAAAUGCGUAGAUAUUGGGAAGAACACCGGAGGCGAAGGCGGAUUGCUGGGCCGACACUGACGCUGAGGCGCGAAAGCCAGGGGAGCGAACGG
This 427-nucleotide ribosomal RNA is filed under the name uncultured bacterium. RNAcentral's name for it is "bacterial SSU rRNA". It matches the Rfam family "Bacterial small subunit ribosomal RNA", at positions 355 to 775 of the family's 1533-position model. The record is from RNAcentral.